UUAAGUUAUUAAGGGCGCACGGUGGAUGCCUUGGCACUAGAAGCCGAUGAAGGACGUUACUAACGACGAUAUGCUUUGGGGAGCUGUAAGUAAGCUUUGAUCCAGAGAUUUCCGAAUGGGGAAACCCAGCAUGAGUUAUGUCAUGUUAUCGAUAUGUGAAUACAUAGCAUAUCAGAAGGCACACCCGGAGAACUGAAACAUCUUAGUACCCGGAGGAAGAGAAAGAAAAUUCGAUUCCCUUAGUAGCGGCGAGCGAAACGGGAAGAGCCCAAACCAACAAGCUUGCUUGUUGGGGUUGUAGGACACUCUAUACGGAGUUACAAAGGACGACAUUAGACGAAUCAUCUGGAAAGAUGAAUCAAAGAAGGUAAUAAUCCUGUAGUCGAAAAUGUUGUCUCUCUUGAGUGGAUCCUGAGUACGACGGAGCACGUGAAAUUCCGUCGGAAUCUGGGAGGACCAUCUCCUAAGGCUAAAUACUCUCUAGUGACCGAUAGUGAACCAGUACCGUGAGGGAAAGGUGAAAAGCACCCCGGAAGGGGAGUGAAAUAGAACCUGAAACCGUGUGCUUACAAGUAGUCAGAGCCCGUUAAUGGGUGAUGGCGUGCCUUUUGUAGAAUGAACCGGCGAGUUACGAUUUGAUGCAAGGUUAAGCAGUAAAUGUGGAGCCGUAGCGAAAGCGAGUCUGAAUAGGGCGUUUAGUAUUUGGUCGUAGACCCGAAACCAGGUGAUCUACCCUUGGUCAGGUUGAAGUUCAGGUAACACUGAAUGGAGGACCGAACCGACUUACGUUGAAAAGUGAGCGGAUGAACUGAGGGUAGCGGAGAAAUUCCAAUCGAACCUGGAGAUAGCUGGUUCUCUCCGAAAUAGCUUUAGGGCUAGCCUCAAGUGAUGAUUAUUGGAGGUAGAGCACUGUUUGGACGAGGGGCCCCUCUCGGGUUACCGAAUUCAGACAAACUCCGAAUGCCAAUUAAUUUAACUUGGGAGUCAGAACAUGGGUGAUAAGGUCCGUGUUCGAAAGGGAAACAGCCCAGACCACCAGCUAAGGUCCCAAAAUAUAUGUUAAGUGGAAAAGGAUGUGGCGUUGCCCAGACAACUAGGAUGUUGGCUUAGAAGCAGCCAUCAUUUAAAGAGUGCGUAAUAGCUCACUAGUCGAGUGACACUGCGCCGAAAAUGUACCGGGGCUAAACAUAUUACCGAAGCUGUGGAUUGUCCUUUGGACAAUGGUAGGAGAGCGUUCUAAGGGCGUUGAAGCAUGAUCGUAAGGACAUGUGGAGCGCUUAGAAGUGAGAAUGCCGGUGUGAGUAGCGAAAGACGGGUGAGAAUCCCGUCCACCGAUUGACUAAGGUUUCCAGAGGAAGGCUCGUCCGCUCUGGGUUAGUCGGGUCCUAAGCUGAGGCCGACAGGCGUAGGCGAUGGAUAACAGGUUGAUAUUCCUGUACCACCUAUAAUCGUUUUAAUCGAUGGGGGGGACGCAGUAGGAUAGGCGAAGCGUGCGAUUGGAUUGCACGUCUAAGCAGUAAGGCUGAGUAUUAGGCAAAUCCGGUACUCAUUAAGGCUGAGCUGUGAUGGGGAGAAGACAUUGUGUCUUCGAGUCGUUGAUUUCACACUGCCGAGAAAAGCCUCUAGAUAGAAAAUAGGUGCCCGUACCGCAAACCGACACAGGUAGUCAAGAUGAGAAUUCUAAGGUGAGCGAGCGAACUCUCGUUAAGGAACUCGGCAAAAUGACCCCGUAACUUCGGGAGAAGGGGUGCUCUUUAGGGUUAACGCCCAGAAGAGCCGCAGUGAAUAGGCCCAAGCGACUGUUUAUCAAAAACACAGGUCUCUGCUAAACCGUAAGGUGAUGUAUAGGGGCUGACGCCUGCCCGGUGCUGGAAGGUUAAGAGGAGUGGUUAGCUUCUGCGAAGCUACGAAUCGAAGCCCCAGUAAACGGCGGCCGUAACUAUAACGGUCCUAAGGUAGCGAAAUUCCUUGUCGGGUAAGUUCCGACCCGCACGAAAGGCGUAACGAUUUGGGCACUGUCUCAACGAGAGACUCGGUGAAAUCAUAGUACCUGUGAAGAUGCAGGUUACCCGCGACAGGACGGAAAGACCCCGUGGAGCUUUACUGUAGCCUGAUAUUGAAAUUCGGCACAGCUUGUACAGGAUAGGUAGGAGCCUUUGAAACGUGAGCGCUAGCUUACGUGGAGGCGCUGGUGGGAUACUACCCUAGCUGUGUUGGCUUUCUAACCCGCACCACUUAUCGUGGUGGGAGACAGUGUCAGGCGGGCAGUUUGACUGGGGCGGUCGCCUCCUAAAAGGUAACGGAGGCGCUCAAAGGUUCCCUCAGAAUGGUUGGAAAUCAUUCAUAGAGUGUAAAGGCAUAAGGGAGCUUGACUGCGAGACCUACAAGUCGAGCAGGGUCGAAAGACGGACUUAGUGAUCCGGUGGUUCCGCAUGGAAGGGCCAUCGCUCAACGGAUAAAAGCUACGCCGGGGAUAACAGGCUUAUCUCCCCCAAGAGUUCACAUCGACGGGGAGGUUUGGCACCUCGAUGUCGGCUCAUCGCAUCCUGGGGCUGUAGUCGGUCCCAAGGGUUGGGCUGUUCGCCCAUUAAAGCGGUACGCGAGCUGGGUUCAGAACGUCGUGAGACAGUUCGGUCCCUAUCCGUCGUGGGCGUAGGAAAUUUGAGAGGAGCUGUCCUUAGUACGAGAGGACCGGGAUGGACAUACCUCUGGUGUACCAGUUGUCGUGCCAACGGCAUAGCUGGGUAGCUAUGUGUGGACGGGAUAAGUGCUGAAAGCAUCUAAGCAUGAAGCCCCCCUCAAGAUGAGAUUUCCCAACUUCGGUUAUAAGAUCCCUCAAAGAUGAUGAGGUUAAUAGGUUCGAGGUGGAAGCAUGGUGACAUGUGGAGCUGACGAAUACUAAUCGAUCGAAGACUUAAUCAA
This 2922-nucleotide ribosomal RNA is filed under the name Staphylococcus aureus VET1893R. RNAcentral describes it as "bacterial LSU rRNA". It matches the Rfam family "Bacterial large subunit ribosomal RNA". Lineage: Bacteria; Bacillati; Bacillota; Bacilli; Caryophanales; Staphylococcaceae. The record is from RNAcentral.